This 350-nucleotide long non-coding RNA is filed under the name Lactuca sativa (garden lettuce). RNAcentral's name for it is "long non-coding RNA (LSAT_LNC008226)". The record is from RNAcentral. Lineage: Eukaryota; Viridiplantae; Streptophyta; Magnoliopsida; Asterales; Asteraceae.
UACGAAGACUAUCUUGGAUUUUUAUGCACGACUCCUGGGAUCGACUCACACGAGAUUCUAAACUACACGCAUCAACCGUGCAACUACACGCUCGGGCAUCCGUACAAUCUGAAUUCGCCAUCUGUCGCGAUUUCCCACCUUGUUGGAACUCAAACUGUCACUCGAACAGCCACAAAUGUCAAUGAAGAAGAAACCUACACCAUCACUUCAAAAAUGGGACCCGCGAUAGCCAUUGAAACUAGCCCGCCGGCUAUGACCAUAGGACCGGGUGCAUCGCAAAAGUUCACGGUUACUCUGACCGUCCGGUCAGCUAGUGGGGCCUACAGUUUUGGGGAGGUUUUGUUGAAAGG